GACGAACGCUGGCGGCGUGCUUAACACAUGCAAGUCGAACGGAAACGCCGUGCUUUCGUGCGGUUCCCGAGUGGCGAACGGGUGAGUAACACGUGAGUAACGUACCCUUCACUUUGGGAUAACUUCAGGAAACUGGGGCUAAUACCGGAUAGGAGCUCCCGCUGCAUGGUGGGGGUUGGAUCGUUUCGCCGGUUGGGGAUGGAAUCGCGGCUUAUCGGCUUGUUGGUUGGGUAGUGGCUGACCAAGCCUGUGACCGGUAGCCGGCCUGGGAGGGUGACCGGCCCCGUGGCGCCUGGGAUAGGGCGCAGACUGCAAUAGUAGGCAACGGGGGAGAAGAUUACACAGUGGGAGGAGGCGUGAGCAGACAACGCCGCGCGUGGAAAGACGGCAUGGGGGUAGUGAACCGCAUCCGCUUGAGACGAAGCGUUAGUGACGGUAAUGUGUGAAUAAGCACCGGCUAACUACGUG
This 468-nucleotide ribosomal RNA is filed under the name uncultured bacterium. RNAcentral's name for it is "partial 16S ribosomal RNA". It matches the Rfam family "Bacterial small subunit ribosomal RNA", at positions 28 to 507 of the family's 1533-position model. The record is from RNAcentral.